UGGGGAAUAUUGCACAAUGGGCGCAAGCCUGAUGCAGCCAUGCCGCGUGUGUGAAGAAGGCCUUCGGGUUGUAAAGCACUUUCAGCGGGGAGGAAGGCGUUAAGGUUAAUAACCUUGGCGAUUGACGUUACCCGCAGAAGAAGCACCGGCUAACUCCGUGCCAGCAGCCGCGGUAAUACGGAGGGUGCAAGCGUUAAUCGGAAUUACUGGGCGUAAAGCGCACGCAGGCGGUUGAUUGAGUCAGAUGUGAAAUCCCCGGGCUUAACCCGGGAAUUGCAUCUGAUACUGGUCAGCUAGAGUCUUGUAGAGGGGGGUAUAAUUCCAUGUGUAGCGGUGAAAUGCGUAGAGAUGUGGAGGAAUACCGGUGGCGAAGGCGGCCCCCUGGACAAAGACUGACGCUCAGGUGCGAAAGCGUGGGGAGCAAACAGGA
RNAcentral lists this ribosomal RNA (430 nucleotides) under Chloroflexota bacterium. RNAcentral's name for it is "Chloroflexi bacterium partial 16S ribosomal RNA". It matches the Rfam family "Bacterial small subunit ribosomal RNA", at positions 355 to 777 of the family's 1533-position model. The record is from RNAcentral. Lineage: Bacteria; Bacillati; Chloroflexota.